AGAUGGUCACCUAGAGACAGUGAGGAAAAUAUGCACCUAGGCCUCCAACCAACAGUGAGGCAUUAGCAACUCUCCGAGAGAAAGUAAUGGCUGAAAUUGUUCUUCUUCUAGUCAUUGAAAAGAUGGUAAUCGCCGUAGCAAAUGGAGCAGCAAAUCAGGCGAGUGCUCAUUUUUCCAAGUAUGGGACCCAACUAAUAGAGCUACAGGGCAGCAUGGGCCGCGUUGUUAGGGAGCUUCGUAUAAUUCAUGAUGUUCUAUGUCAAAUGGACAUUCGAAACCGCCACAAUCAAGUGUAUGAGGGCUGGUUGGAUGAGGUGCGGAAGGUAGCACAUGCGAUGGAGGAUAUGGUGGAUGAGUACAUGUAUCAAGUUGGCCGGGAACAUGAUACUGGGUGUUGCUUCUACCUGAAGAAAGGGCUUAGAAAACCAAGAUCUCUGCUUUCCUUGAAUCAGAUAUCUUCCAAAGUGAAGGAAAUAGAGAAAGACCUUGCACACCUGUCAGAGAUGAAAUACCGAUGGGUUCCCAUGAUAAACAAUGAAGAUACUGGCAGCUUGAAUUACAUGGUCAAGAAGUCUCAAGAUCUAGCAAACAUCUCACGUUCCCUUGAUGACGAAGAUCUAGUUGGGGUGGAUGAAAAUAGAGGAAAACUUGAGCAAUGGUUGGGAAGUGACGAUGUGGAACGUUCCCUGAUAACACUGAUAGGAAUGGGUGGGCUGGGCAAAACAGCUUUAGCAUCAAAUGUCUAUAGGAAAGAGAGAGAGAAAUUUCAGUGCCAUGCAUGGGUCUCCAUCUCUCAAACUUAUUCUAGAGAAGAUGUCUUGAGGAAUAUAAUCAAGGAAUUAUUCAAAAAUGAAGUCAGUGGUCCAUCAAACAUUGCAGCGAUGGAUAUCACAAGCCUUGAAGAGACAUUGAAGAGGUAUCUAGGGCAAAUGAAGUAUUUGAUCAUAUUAGAUGAUGUUUGGACUCCAGAUGCAUUUGAAGACCUGUCUAGGUCACUUGUUUGUAAUGGUAAGUGAAGCAGAUUGAUAAUCACAACACGGCAGGGUGAUGUUGCCGCACUUGCUUCUCAAGGACACAUAUUAACACUUGAACCUUUACCAGAAGACAAGGCUUGGGAUCUUUUUUGUAAGAAAUCUUUUCCAAAAGAAACAAACCAUCACUGUCCUGAGGAGUUGAGGCUUUUGUCCGAGGAAAUACUUAGCAAGUGCAAAGGAUUGCCUCUUGCUAUUGUGUCAGUUGGCAGCCUCUUGCAUGUGCGUGAGAAAACCGUUGAAGAAUGGAAAAGAAUAAAUGACCAAUUGAGUUGGGAGAUACUUAAUAACUCAAGGCUCGACCACAUAAGGAAUGUGUUGCAUCUGAGCUAUAUCUACCUUCCAACAUACUUGAAGAGUUGUUUCCUGUACUGCAGCCUAUUUCCAGAAGACUAUCUUUUUCGCAGAAAAACUCUUGUACGGUUAUGGACGGCGGAGGGGUUCAUCGUGGAGAGGGGUGUAAGCACAUUAGAAGAAGUGGCAGAAGGUUAUCUGAAGGAGUUGGUUAACAGGAACAUGCUACAACUUGUUCGCAGGAAUGCAUUUGGUAGGAUGAAAAGAUUCAGAAUGCAUGAUAUCAUACGUGAAUUGGCAGUUGAUUUGUGCCAGAACUAUCGUUUUGGUGUUAAAUCUGAGGAUUAUAUAUGCGGGGGUACUCUUCAUAGGGAUGGACGGAGAUUGGUAGUGCACAAACUAAAGAAGGAUAUUCAUCAUUCAUUUUCUAGCAUACAUGGACUUCGAACUUUCAUUACACUGGACAAAAGCAUGCCGCCAUUAACCCUGCUACCUCUAAUAUCUGAGAAUUCAAGAUAUAUGACAGUGCUAGAAUUAACUGGCCUACCUAUCGAGAAGAUUCCCGAUGCUAUUGGUGAUCUUUUUAAUCUCCGCCAUUUGGGCUUGCGGGAUUCAAAAGUGAGGUAUCUCCCAAAAUCCAUCGAGAAGCUUUUGAAUCUGUUGACACUGGACCUCUGUAGAUCUGACAUACAUGAGUUGCCUAGAGGGAUUGUCAAGUUGAAGAAGCUUAGGCACUUGUUUGCUGAGAAAGAAACUGUGUCAGGACGAGACUUUGGACUUAGCAGUGGUGUAUGCAUCCCCAUUGGGCUUGGGAACCUAACAAACCUGCAGACUCUACAAGCGUUGGAAGUGCAAGAUGAAUCCAUUAAGCAACUAGUGGAGCUAAGGCAACUCAGAAGCUUGAAGAUAUGCAAUGUGAAGGGAAUCUACUGUGAACACCUCCACGAGUCUCUGGUGCAGAUGCCAUUUUUGUCCUACCUAUAUGUGGGUGCAAGUGACAAGAAUGAAGUUCUCAUGUUGAACACCCUCCCGACUAGCCUGCAAAAGUUAAGGUUGAACGGAAGAUUGCCGGAAGGGACACUUUCGAGGGGGUCUACUCUCUUUCAAGGUGUGGAGCAGAACAUGUAUUCACUACGCCUGUCUUGGUCGCAGUUGAGAGAAGACCCUUUGCCAUCCCUUUCCCAGUUGGUGAAUUUGACAGUUCUUCACUUCUUUAGAGCAUACAAUGGAGAGAAGCUGACGUUUCUCACGGGAUGGUUUCCCAACCUGAAGCAUCUCUCUCUAAGAGACAUGCCUAACCUGAAGCGACUAGAGAUAAAGCUAGGUGCCAUGGCGACCCUGGAAUCAUUUACGUUAGGCAGCCUAAACAGCAUGGCGGAGGUCCCACCUGGCCUUGAGUUUCUCAUGCCCCUCCAGUAUCUAGGCUUCUUCCAAAUUACCCGCGACUUCCUCAAGUUGUUGUACCAAUGUCCUCAACUUGUUUGUACGCAAUGGCAACACACUCUCCGCGACGACGACGACGAUGACGACCGGUGAUCCUCCCAUAACUUGCAUGCCGCCAUAGAAAAAGGAAGAUAUAUGCGCCUCGGUUCGAUAUCUGUUCUACUGCUGCUCUACAAGACUGGGCUGCUAUAUUGGUUGCUUGUGAAGUGUGAUAUUCAGAGUUCCUACUGAUUUCGUCUGUGGCGUUGAAAUAACAAGACACAUCCUGCUUGUGUCGCAAGACUGAAUUACUCGAUCACUUUUUACGCGUUAAUGCGUUCAACUAUUGUGUGUAUUCUAUUCAUGUGAGCUUGUAAACUAUGAUCGGUACUGUCUAUUCCGGCCGUGCGUGUUGAAUAACUAAACCAUUUGCGUGAAUUUGUGCGCCCAACUAUUGUGUGUAUUCUAUCCGUGUGGGCUUGUAAACUUUAAUCGAUACUGUAUGUUCCAGUCAUGCCUGUUAAAUAAAUAAACCAUUUGUGUAAGAAUUUUCCUUGUGUAUAGCAU
This 3314-nucleotide ribosomal RNA is filed under the name Triticum aestivum (bread wheat). RNAcentral's name for it is "partial small subunit ribosomal RNA". The record is from RNAcentral. Lineage: Eukaryota; Viridiplantae; Streptophyta; Magnoliopsida; Poales; Poaceae.